Molecule: long non-coding RNA, 926 nt
Filed under: Carica papaya (papaya)
Lineage: Eukaryota; Viridiplantae; Streptophyta; Magnoliopsida; Brassicales; Caricaceae
Description: long non-coding RNA (CPAP_LNC013549)
Source: RNAcentral
AAUGCCGAGAACGACCUAGAAUAAAGGUAUAUACAUCUUUUUUUAUUAAUCGUACACAAAAUACUUUUAAUUAUAUUUUUUAAAUUAAUGUAUUUAUGCCCGUAUUUCUAAAAAAAAAAAAAUACGUAUGUAUCAAUGUGGUUUGGGAAGUAAUUAAAUAUAAAUUUUGAAAAAAAUAAUGGAAACAACUCGAUGUACUAACAAGUGUUGAUUUAUAACGGAGGGCAUAGAUUCGAUUUUUCGAAUGAGGUUAAGAAGAUUUUCUCCAUGAAUAUAUCCUAAUUUUGGUAGGAUACAUUAGAAGUUUUAACAAAGUAUGUCUAAUAUAUUAUAGUAUCACUUGUAUAUGCUAUUGUAAUUUAAGGUUAGUUUAGAUAUUUACCCGUUAUGCUUUACCGAAUUCUUAUCUCGUUUCUCAUUUAUAGUAUUUUUCACUAUAUUUAAAUAAUUUUUAAUCAAUUAUGAUUAUCAUAAUUAAGAUAAACUAAUUGUUAUAAUAUAUAUACAUUAUAUAUAUUAAUACUAGAUUUGUUGUUGGUACCGAAUUGUUUCUUUAGGGUUUAUUAUUGCUAGAUAUAUAAUAUCUCUUGGAUGUAACAUAUUGCUCUUUAUGUUUUCCAUUUUUGCAGGGUCGAUUUGUGAAGAUAGGCUGAGAAAGUAUACAUUUUUUUUUUUUUAUAAAUCUUGUUGGUAUCUUUUUUUAUUAUUUUUUUUGGAGUUUAUUGUGCGGGUGAAAUAUUUUUUUUCUUCUAAUAUUUUGUUUUAAUUUAUUAGAAUUAAAAAAUAAAUUAUUUUUCAAAUUAAAUCGCAUGUUAUUACACACGUAAUAUUGAACAUAAAUAUUGAUCCAAUUAGAAUAUUAACAUAUCUUAAUUGUGUAAAGUUUCGAAAUUUAAAUAAAAAUAAAGUCAUAAAUUAAAUGUGAA